Molecule: ribosomal RNA, 253 nt
Filed under: uncultured bacterium
Lineage: Bacteria
Description: partial 16S ribosomal RNA
Rfam family: Bacterial small subunit ribosomal RNA
Source: RNAcentral
UACGUAGGGUGCGAGCGUUGUCCGGAAUUAUUGGGCGUAAAGAGCUCGUAGGCGGUUUGUCGCGUCUAUCGUGAAAACUGGAGGCUUAACUUUCAGCGUGCAGUCGAUACGGGCAGACUUGAGUUCGGUAGGGGAGACUGGAAUUCCUGGUGUAGCGGUGAAAUGCGCAGAUAUCAGGAGGAACACCGGUGGCGAAGGCGGGUCUCUGGACAGUUCCCGACGCUGAGGCACGAAGGUCAGGGGAGCAAACGGG